AUGCUUGUUUUGGCAGCACAUUUACUAAAAUUGGAACCACACAGAGAAGAUUAGCAUGGCCCCUAUGCAAAGAUGACAUGGAGAUACUGUAAGCAAUACAUAAUUUG
Molecule: small nuclear RNA, 107 nt
Organism: Meriones unguiculatus (Mongolian gerbil)
Lineage: Eukaryota; Metazoa; Chordata; Mammalia; Rodentia; Muridae
Source: Ensembl